ACCUUAAGACCCACUGGAUCGGGUACCCUCGGUCCUAGGAUCCAGGGGCCAGUGGGCAAAGGCCUGGCAUGCCUUCUUCAAUCUCCUCCAUCUUCCCAGAACUGGACUCAGAGGAUGCCCCGCCAUGCUGCCGUCUGGCCUUGGGAGAGCCCCCUCCCUAUGGCGCUGCACCUAUCGGUAUUCCCCGACCUCCACCCCCUCGGCCUGGCAUGCAUUCGCCACCGCCGCGCCCAGCCCCCUCACCUGGCACCUGGGAGAGCCAGCCCGCCAGGUCGGUGAGGCUGGGAGGACCAGGAGGGGGUGCUGGGGGUGCUGGGGGUGGCCGUGUUCUCGAGUGUCCCAGCAUCCGCAUCACCUCCAUCUCUCCCACGCCGGAGCCGCCAGCAGCGCUGGAGGACAACCCUGAUGCCUGGGGGGACGGCUCUCCUAGAGAUUACCCCCCACCAGAAGGCUUUGGGGGCUACAGAGAAGCAGGGGGCCAGGGUGGGGGGGCCUUCUUCAGCCCAAGCCCUGGCAGCAGCAGCCUGUCCUCGUGGAGCUUCUUCUCCGAUGCCUCUGACGAGGCAGCCCUGUAUGCAGCCUGCGACGAGGUGGAGUCUGAGCUAAAUGAGGCGGCCUCCCGCUUUGGCCUGGGCUCCCCGCUGCCCUCGCCCCGGGCCUCCCCUCGGCCAUGGACCCCCGAAGAUCCCUGGAGCCUGUAUGGUCCAAGCCCCGGAGGCCGAGGGCCAGAGGAUAGCUGGCUACUCCUCAGUGCUCCUGGGCCCACCCCAGCCUCCCCGCGGCCUGCCUCUCCAUGUGGCAAGCGGCGCUAUUCCAGCUCGGGAACCCCAUCUUCAGCCUCCCCAGCUCUGUCCCGCCGUGGCAGCCUGGGGGAAGAGGGGUCUGAGCCACCUCCACCACCCCCAUUGCCUCUGGCCCGGGACCCGAGCUCCCCUGGUCCCUUUGACUAUGUGGGGGCCCCACCAGCUGAGAGCAUCCCUCAGAAGACACGGCGGACUUCCAGCGAGCAGGCAGUGGCUCUGCCUCGGUCUGAGGAGCCUGCCUCAUGCAAUGGGAAGCUGCCCUUGGGAGCAGAGGAGUCUGUGGCUCCUCCAGGAGGUUCCCGGAAGGAGGUGGCUGGCAUGGACUACCUGGCAGUGCCCUCCCCACUCGCUUGGUCCAAGGCCCGGAUUGGGGGACACAGCCCUAUCUUCAGGACCUCUGCCCUACCCCCACUGGACUGGCCUCUGCCCAGCCAAUAUGAGCAGCUGGAACUGAGGAUCGAGGUACAGCCUAGAGCCCACCACCGGGCCCACUAUGAGACAGAAGGCAGCCGUGGAGCUGUCAAAGCUGCCCCUGGCGGUCACCCCGUAGUCAAGCUCCUAGGCUACAGUGAGAAGCCACUGACCCUACAGAUGUUCAUCGGCACUGCAGAUGAAAGGAACCUGCGGCCUCAUGCCUUCUAUCAGGUGCACCGUAUCACAGGCAAGAUGGUGGCCACGGCCAGCUAUGAAGCUGUAGUCAGUGGCACCAAGGUGUUGGAGAUGACUCUGCUGCCUGAGAACAACAUGGCGGCCAACAUUGACUGCGCGGGAAUCCUGAAGCUUCGGAAUUCAGACAUUGAGCUUCGGAAGGGUGAGACGGACAUCGGGCGCAAAAACACACGUGUACGGCUGGUGUUCCGGGUACACGUGCCCCAGGGCGGCGGGAAGGUCGUCUCAGUACAGGCAGCAUCGGUGCCCAUCGAGUGCUGUGAGCAAAGAGGCCCUGGGCCAUCUCUCUGUCUCUUGCAACUCUUUUGUCUGUGUGUGUGUGUCUGUCUGCCCAUUCCCUCUGCAGCGUCCUGUGCCCUGUCUGUCCUGGGUAGCUCUAUAGAGGACUCAGCUUCUUUCUAUUGUAGUUUGCCCCUGCCACAGACUCUUUCUCUGGGGUGGCCCAGAGUGACACUGGACCCUAUCUAUUCCUGGGGUGCCCUGUGCCCUUGUUUGGGAAACUCCCUGGUCUACCCUGUUUAACCCUCUCUCUGCUCUGGGAGUGGCCCCUUACAUGGUGUGUGUGACUCCAUGGAUAUUACUGGUUUAUUUGUGUGUCUACUGCUGAGGAGGGCUCCCUCAGAGCCCUGUGGCAGUUUUCCCAAAGAGGGUGGGGACAGAGGAGGCCACCCCUCCAUGCCCAGCCCAGCCAGUCCUCUUCCUUGCACUGCUCUGCAGCCCAGCGCUCAGCCCAGGAGCUGCCCCAGGUGGAGGCCUACAGCCCCAGUGCCUGCUCUGUGAGAGGAGGCGAGGAACUGGUACUGACUGGCUCCAACUUCCUGCCAGACUCUAAGGUGGUGUUCAUUGAGAGGGGUCCUGAUGGGAAGCUGCAAUGGGAGGAGGAGGCCACGGUGAACCGACUGCAGAGCAACGAGGUGACGCUGACCCUGACUGUCCCCGAGUACAGCA
This 2420-nucleotide small RNA is filed under the name Pan troglodytes (chimpanzee). RNAcentral describes it as "retained intron". The record is from RNAcentral. Lineage: Eukaryota; Metazoa; Chordata; Mammalia; Primates; Hominidae.